AGAGUUUGAUCCUGGCUCAGGAUUAACGCUGGCGGCAUGCCUAACACAUGCAAGUCGAACGGGGUUUAUAUGACAGAACUCUCCGGAGGGAAGAUAUAUAAACCUAGUGGCGGACGGGUGAGUAACGCGUGGGCAACCUGCCCUGUACCGGGGGACAACAGCCAGAAAUGGCUGCUAAUACCGCAUAAGCCUGCUGUGCCGCAUGGCACAGCAGGGAAAACCACGGUGGUACAGGAUGGGCCCGCGUCUGAUUAGUUAGUUGGCAGGGUAACGGCCUACCAAGACAACGAUCAGUAGCCGGCUUGAGAGAGUGGACGGCCACAUUGGGACUGAGACACGGCCCAGACUCCUGCGGGAGGCAGCAGUGGGGAAUAUUGCACAAUGGGGGGAACCCUGAUGCAGCAAUGCCGCGUGGGUGAAGAAGCACUCCGGUGCGUAAAGCCCUGUCAGCAGGGAAGAAAAUGACAGUACCUGACCAAGAAGCCCCGGCUAACUACGUGCCAGCAGCCGCGGUAAUACGUAGGGGGCAAGCGUUAUCCGGAUUUACUGGGUGUAAAGGGAGCGCAGGCGGCGUGGCAAGUCAGAUGUGAAAACCCGGGGCCCAACCCCGGGAGUGCAUUUGAAACUGCCAUGCUGGAGUGCCGGAGAGGUAAGCGGAAUUCCUAGUGUAGCGGUGAAAUGCGUAGAUAUUAGGAGGAACACCAGUGGCGGAGGCGGCUUACUGGACGGUAACUGACGCUGAGGCUCGAAAGCGUGGGGAGCAAACAGGAUUAGAUACCCUGGUAGUCCACGCCGUAA
This 798-nucleotide ribosomal RNA is filed under the name uncultured bacterium. Its description in RNAcentral is "bacterial SSU rRNA". It matches the Rfam family "Bacterial small subunit ribosomal RNA", at positions 8 to 805 of the family's 1533-position model. The record is from RNAcentral.